RNAcentral lists this ribosomal RNA (226 nucleotides) under uncultured bacterium. RNAcentral's name for it is "partial 16S ribosomal RNA". It matches the Rfam family "Bacterial small subunit ribosomal RNA", at positions 538 to 763 of the family's 1533-position model. The record is from RNAcentral.
GCGUUGUCCGGAAUUACUGGGCGUAAAGAGCGUGUAGGCGGGUAAUUAAGUCAGAUGUGAAAACUUGGGGCUCAACCGCAAGAUUGCAUCUGAAACUGGAUACCUUGAGGGCAGGAGAGGAAAGUGGAAUUCCUAGUGUAGCGGUGAAAUGCGUAGAUAUUAGGAGGAACACCAGUGGCGAAGGCGACUUUCUGGACUGUACCUGACGCUGAGACGCGAAAGCGUG